RNAcentral lists this ribosomal RNA (376 nucleotides) under Duplodicodrilus acinctus. RNAcentral's name for it is "partial 16S ribosomal RNA". It matches the Rfam family "Bacterial large subunit ribosomal RNA", at positions 1926 to 2541 of the family's 2925-position model. Lineage: Eukaryota; Metazoa; Annelida; Clitellata; Crassiclitellata; Megascolecidae. The record is from RNAcentral.
AACGGCCGCGGUAUCCUAACCGUGCAAAGGUAGCAUAAUCAUUUGCCUAUUAAUUGUAGGCUAGAAUGAACGGGUUAACGAAAUAAAGACUGUCUCAAUUAAUUACCUAAAAAUUAUUAUCUAUCUGAAGAAAGGUAGAUAGACUCGAAGGACAAGAAGACCCUAUAGAGCUUAAUUUUAAUUAUAGAGUUAAACUAUAAAAAUAUUCGGUUGGGGCGACCCCGGGCUAAAUAAUCACCCAAUAUACACAAGAUAAAUUAAUCAAAUAAUUGACCCUUUAAAGAUCAUAAAACCAAGCUACCUUAGGGAUAACAGGCUAAUCCCACUCAAGAGUCCUUAUCAACAGUGGGGUUUGGCACCUCGAUGUUGGCUUAGG